Molecule: transfer RNA, 16 nt
Filed under: Isopterygiopsis muelleriana
Lineage: Eukaryota; Viridiplantae; Streptophyta; Bryopsida; Hypnales; Plagiotheciaceae
Also listed under: 1 other name
Description: partial tRNA-Phe
Source: RNAcentral
AGCCGGAAUAGCUCAG